AGGCAGUGGCAGACGGGUGAGUAAUGCAUGGGAAUCUACCGUUCUCUACGGAAUAACUCAGGGAAACUUGUGCUAAUACCGUAUACGCCCUUUUGGGGAAAGAUUUAUCGGAGAAUGAUGAGCCCAUGUUGGAUUAGCUAGUUGGUAGGGUAAAGGCCUACCAAGGCGACGAUCCAUAGCUGGUCUGAGAGGAUGAUCAGCCACACUGGGACUGAGACACGGCCCAGACUCCUACGGGAGGCAGCAGUGGGGAAUAUUGGACAAUGGGCGCAAGCCUGAUCCAGCCAUGCCGCGUGAGUGAUGAAGGCCCUAGGGUUGUAAAGCUCUUUCACCGGUGAAGAUAAUGACGGUAACCGGAGAAGAAGCCCCGGCUAACUUCGUGCCAGCAGCCGCGGUAAUACGAAGGGGGCUAGCGUUGUUCGGAUUUACUGGGCGUAAAGCGCACGUAGGCGGACUUUUAAGUCAGGGGUGAAAUCCCGGGGCUCAACCCCGGAACUGCCUUUGAUACUGGAAGUCUUGAGUAUGGAAGAGGUAAGUGGAAUUGCGAGUGUAGAGGUGAAAUUCGUAGAUAUUCGCAGGAACACCAGUGGCGAAGGCGGCUUACUGGUCCAUUACUGACGC
RNAcentral lists this ribosomal RNA (621 nucleotides) under Pseudochrobactrum asaccharolyticum. Its description in RNAcentral is "bacterial SSU rRNA". It matches the Rfam family "Bacterial small subunit ribosomal RNA", at positions 90 to 746 of the family's 1533-position model. Lineage: Bacteria; Pseudomonadati; Pseudomonadota; Alphaproteobacteria; Hyphomicrobiales; Brucellaceae. The record is from RNAcentral.